Non-coding RNA from Tricholoma furcatifolium, 97 nucleotides. The record is from the annotation of a GenBank genome assembly. NCBI's taxonomy places the organism in Eukaryota, Fungi, Basidiomycota, Agaricomycetes, Agaricales, Tricholomataceae.
UCGGGUAUGGUGUAACGGCUAACAUUGCCGCCUCUCAUUGCAGGGCGUAAGUUCAGUCAGUGCGCGGCAGCUCGGGGUUCGAUUCCCCGUACCCGAA